RNAcentral lists this ribosomal RNA (441 nucleotides) under uncultured bacterium. Its description in RNAcentral is "partial 16S ribosomal RNA". It matches the Rfam family "Bacterial small subunit ribosomal RNA", at positions 338 to 795 of the family's 1533-position model. The record is from RNAcentral.
CCUACGGGAGGCAGCAGUGGGGAAUAUUGCACAAUGGGGGAAACCCUGAUCCAGCAACGCCGCGUGAGUGAAGGAGUAUUUCGGUAUGUAAAGCCCCAUCAGUAGGGAAGAAGAAAGACGGUACCUGACUAAGAAGCCCCGGCCAACUACGUGCCAGCAGCCGCGGUAAUACGGAGGGGGCAAGCGUUAACCGGAUUUCCUGGGUGUAAAGGGAGGGUAGACGGUUGUGCAAGUCUGAAGUGAAAGCCCGGGGCUCAACCGCGGAACUGCUUUGGAAACUGUAUGGCUUGAGUACUGGAGAGGCAUGCGGAAUGCCUGGUGUAGCGGUGAAAUGCGUAGAUAUUAGGAAGAACACCAGUGGCGAAGGCGGCAUGCUGGACAAAAACUGACGUUGAGGCACGAAAGCGUGGGGAGCAAACAGGAUUAGAUACCCGGGUAGUC